Long non-coding RNA from Triticum aestivum (bread wheat), 2826 nucleotides. RefSeq lists it as uncharacterized. Lineage: Eukaryota; Viridiplantae; Streptophyta; Magnoliopsida; Poales; Poaceae. The transcript has 8 exons. The record is from RefSeq and is a predicted model, not a curated record.
CAAAUCCUCAAAUUCCCCCUCUCGUCUCCCUCCCUAGGACGCAGCCGCCCACCGAAUCAAAUCCCGUCGCCGGGCUCGUCUGCCUCGUCGUGGCCGAUGAAUGCGUCGGCUGCGGCCACGCCCCCUCUCCAAACGGCGGCGAUGAUGGAGGGAGCAGCUCACGCUGCCAGGCUCCCGACCGAACGCGUCGGGUCAUCUCUCCUCAGGGCCAACCCCUCCUAUUCAUCACAUCUCUCCCUGACUCCGUCUCCUCCACGAGAUGUAGCACCACCCCACGCCAUGGAUGCCCUUGCCGGCUGCAUCUCUCCAUGCGCUGCCACUCCUAUGACACUGCCGCCUGACAGUCUCCACCAGCACCACGACGGGCGUGGCCUCUGCACGCGCCGUCACCUCCCCUCCAGAUCCGGCCGUCGUCGAGGGCAUAUCCAUCCAGCAGUGCACCGUCACCUCCCCUCCAGAUCCAACCGUCGUCAAGGGCGUAUCCAUCCAGCAGCGCGCCGUCAUCCCAAUCAUCACCGUCCACGGCGUCAUCGCCCAGGCCCAGUCAGGGGCCGGCAAGACCUCCAUGAUCUCCCUCUUCGUCUGCCAGGUCAUUGAGACCAACGUCCACGAGUGAUUUCCGCAUAGCUUUUGUGUAUGACGGCUGGAGGACCAACUCAGACCUCGCUUGCCUCAGGGUCAGGAGGUCCAAGGCGCCACAAGACCGGGCCAGGAGUUUGUGUAAACCUGGGCCAGGAGUUUAUUUGAUAAAGGUUUCCAGAAUGAUUGGCCACGCCUACCUAAAAAGUUCGGAAUUUAACCAUGAGCCCCUUCUGGCCUGGUUCCAUAUUCCAAGGCCCUUCCAUAAUCCAAUUCUUUGUCCCGAACCAUCCAUUGAAGAACAUAGACUGUUCAGAAUAUCAGUUUGUUAUAUUUGCAUCAGAUGAACUAUGGGAGCACUUGAACAAUCAGGAAGCUGUGGAUAUAGUUCAUUGUUCACCUCGGAAUGGCAGCCAGUGGUGGAGUAAUCAGUGGUUUAUGAGGUCAUGGAGCCCAAGACCGGAUGCAGCAGAAGAAGCAGCGUCGUUGCCGUGCACUAAGAAGGCCAACAGUCUGUGAGGCGGAAGAUCCAUAGCAUACAGCGGAUGCGUUGGAUAUGCCAUUCCUCAAUGUGUACCUGGAUUCUCUUUGGGCACCUAAUUUUGGGGCAGGUGUUAUUCUAGCAGCCCGCUUCGCUUUGGUCUUCAGAUUAAGCAAUUCUCUGCAUUCAAGGGAAAGGUCAAUAGCUGCUCUCCAAAGCCAACGCCGGUCUGUAUUCAUCUGCUGCGUCAGGUUGGCCACAACGAGGAGACGGACGCGACCGCAUCGUCCCAUCGACCUCCGGGGUCUUUGAUAUCUCAGGGUGUGUGUCAUGUUAUGUUGGGUUUCCUGUGAUUUCGGUGCGGGUAGCUACAUAGCGUCCGUGGGCCAUGCGUGUGACAUGCAUGCUAGGUAAUCUUGACUCCGGUGCGACGGUGCUGGAACCGCCUCCGCUGGUUACGACCGCUGUGGCUAUGCUUGAAGGCAGAAUCAGCACGAUGACUGUAGUGGCUGCACUCAGAUCAGGGCAGCCACGGGAUAUGAUCAAGCCUUUACUGUCGUCCUCUGAAUUUGGGAUCACGUGCAUCGGCAAGAGAAAUAGCAUGAGAGCCUAAGAGGGUAGUACCACGUUACGAACAAGUUGAUUUUUAUCCAUGGAAUUGAUCUGAUGCGAAGCUGAUGCCACAUAAAAGGCAUCUAGCUGCAGGUGGAAUAACAAGAUUCAGUGUGUGCAAAGACAACAAUAAAUAACAUGUCAUUAGGGAGACUUCUGACAAUUGAACCCUGCAUUUUUUUGGCAUUAGUACAACUGUUCUACUGCAUUAUUCAACUAUGCGCGAUGAAGCUGAUAUAGGGUGUGGACUAGACAAUUUAUUCAGUUUUCUUCAAGAAGGUAUGCAGAUUGGGCAUCAAAGUAGACGACAAAGGAUGACAUUCUGCACCUUACAACUUAAAAAUUGAAAGAUACUUUCUAUUUUAUAUUGAUGUGAUCGCCAGCGAGAACAAAUUUUUGACUGAAUUUGUUUCAUUAAAGUGAAGUUGUUCGGACUUUUCUUUGAAUGUUUCUUUUAGUUGCGUAAAAAAGCAUUGUGGGUAAUGUUUUUUUGAGCUGAUUAUGAGUAAUGUUUGGUUCCAUGCAGGACCAAGGAAUGAACACGAAGCAAAUUAUAACUCUCAGGUUCAUGGUUUAGGAGCAGGAAAGAACACUUCCAAUUGUGUAGAUGGGUCAUCAGUAGCAUUUCUCUAAUUAUCCUUAUAGAGACUGAUUUGGAUUGUUGAAGGAAAGGAUCUCAAUUCUCAAUAGCAAACUGCACUGGGACAUCUUGGACACAUUUCUGAGCUAGGUGAGUUGGACAGCAUGUCAUGGGGGGAAAUCAUUUUUUCCUUCCAAUCCGUGGGCUAAAUUUGUUAUCACCAUAUGUUUUAAAUUUUGUGUCAUCCUUGAACUUUUGAGGAAUUGUUAGAUAUGUUGGUGAGCGGGCAGGCGGCGCUAGACAUGGCAGGGCAAGAGAGCACGAGGGAGAAUGUCAAAGGGGGCAACAUAAAUGAGAGUUCACCGUUAUGCUCAUGUGGUCAGAACCUAGAGCAUGGAUACAAGACCUCCAUCUUCUAUGGACAUCAGAGCAGAGGAGAAGUGAUGAUGGACAUCAGACCAGUGAAGACAGUGAGCAUGUGCUCCUAGACGAUACUUAUCAUAUCAUAUUCUCAGUGUGUAGUCAAAAACUGUAUGCCACAUAUACGUUGUGAAUUACUAUGAUAUUUGAUCAA